This is a long non-coding RNA of Lolium perenne, 2709 nucleotides long. RefSeq lists it as uncharacterized. Lineage: Eukaryota; Viridiplantae; Streptophyta; Magnoliopsida; Poales; Poaceae. The record is from RefSeq and is a predicted model, not a curated record.
AGGCCAUCCGAAAUCGCUCCCUCAAGUCACCACGCGCGCAGCUCCGAUCUGCGUUGUCUUUGCCAGAACAAAGCCCCCGACGUGUUGAUCCAUGUGAUCUAGUGAUGCCAUCUCCCUCAUCCCCAUCGAGUGACCCCGCAUCGGCGAUCUCGACGACCUCCAACUUGUCCAUCAGCCUCGUCGAUGAACUGCAACGAUCCUGCUCCCUGGAUCGCCCUAUAGCAGAUCCAACAAUUUAGUUGGUAUUUUAUUUUAUUGUUCCUUCAUCUUUCCCCACUUUAUGCUGUCUCUGGUCAAUGGAAUUUGGGGAGCUCGGUGUGUGCAAACUGCCUUGGUACAGACGUACACUGGAUGGGAAUUGCUCUGAUAAGUGUUAUCUCUGAUAAGUCAUGUUUUAGAUGUGGUUUCAGUCAUUUACAUUGGUAUUACUCUACCUUUGGUUUCAGAGUGUCCCAUGUUUUCCUAGUAUGCUCUGAUCUUCAGAAUUCAGAUUAUAUAUGCCUACUCCUAACUGAAAUUUGAGUGCGAUACUAUCUAAAUUAGUACUUCUAAACUAUGUGCCCAUAUUCUGUACAACUUGUAGUACAAGUCCAUUCUUUUGUUAAUGUCCGUUGUUGUGCAAUACAUGUACAUUCUCAUUUGCCUAUUUCAGGAUAAUGAGGCGUGUGAGCAUAGGAUCUAGCAAGGCAGCAGGAUCUGUUGAGGUAGAUCAAGAAAGAGAUCAAGGAAGCUCAAGGUACAGAACUGUCUUAUAUGUGGCGCAGCUAUCUAGCCAAGUUACUCCUAGAUGUUAUGAGGACAUGCAUGUUAUUGCUGCUAUGUGGGAUAACUAAGAAGAGAACAUCUGUGAGUGAUAUGAACAUUUUGGAAUCUCUAAUUAUCUGAAAUAUUAGUGUAUCAUGCUUGCGAUUUGAAUUCAUUGCAUAGGCUUCUAUGGACGGGGAGGAGAAAAUUUGGCCAGCCUUGAUUAAUUUUUUGCUUCACUUCAACAUUGCUGAAUCAGAUCCUGCAAUAGUUAUACUACGGAAAUAUCUUGGUAGGCCAAGAAACCCCAAAUUCAUGGAAGCUAGAAGAACUGCAGUGUUGAAAUGAGCAUCGGAUUAAGAAGCCGCGUGAAGGGAGUUUAAGGAGAGGAUGAAAACACCUGGCCACAGCUAGGACAGUGCCUCAACAGUCCAAUGCAAGAAACUGUCGGUAUGUUACUUGGUUAAGCCUCUUCGUGGUUCCAUGCACAUGACUGAAAGUUUUUCUUUCUAGAUUAAGGUUGUUGUCUCACUAUUCUAAGCACAGCCUUCAUGCUGUUUUAGUUCCUACUAAUUAAAGGCUUCAGAUAUUGAUAUCUCUGUUUUUAUUUGGGUAAAUACAUUUAAAGGAUUUACUAAGAUAAUCUUCAAUUUUACAAUUCAUGCAGACUCAUAAUGCUAUUGGGGAUCCAUCUAGACUAGUUAGUAUUGCUAUUUUCUCUUUCUGUUUUAAAUCAUCUCAUCAUAGUUGUUUAUCUCUCCGUCGUCUUAAUAAUUUAGUUGCAGUGUGACUUGGCUUAAAGAAGCAAAGAUAACAUAGCAGAAUCUAAAUUGAAUUUCUUAUCAGAUCAUCAGAUUAGCAGUGGUUUUCAGUUGGAAGUAGCACUAGUGAUUUGCGUUGACUUAAAAAAGACAAGAUCUGUCCACCUUGUUACAAUAUAUAGAGAAAAGCAUUUCUAACCUAAUUGCUAUUGGUUUCGACAUGUGAAAUCACUCGAGGAGGUGUCAUUCUCCUUUCUAUUGUGAUAUCAAAAUUGACUCGUUCUGUGUUCUGCAUCAAGAAUAAAAAAAUUGGUCUACUCACCUCCCGUGUACUAGAAGAACUGAACAUCAUGCGUUGGAGAUUUAGAUCUGACGAUAACUAUGUGGUGACGUGAAAUUGUGUGAUUUUUUGUGCCUAUGUACUUCAAAUUACCAAUUCAUUGCCGCUUUUCUCUAAUCUCUUGUAUUAGGCAUUUUCUCUCAGGCUUCUUGUUCUUGAAUCUGCAUAAUUUGAUCUAGAAAGAAGGGAUUGUAAUGAGGGGAUACGUGGGAAAGACUAUAGGUUUUUUACUAUCUCAAAUCGGUUCAAUAUUGUACUCAGUUAAAGAAAUUUAGUACCUUACGUGUGCAGCUUGCAGGUUUCCUAGCCGGCUAUAAUAAUGAUGUGUGCAGUUACAGGUUUCGUGGUAACUGGUAAGCAUGAUUUAAUUGGAAGUAUAAAGUUACAUAAGAAUUGCUAUCUCCUGCUUUAUGCGGCUUGUAAAGAUAUCUUAAGUUUAUGAUAGAAACUAAUUUUCUAAUUUAUAUCCUAACUGAUAUGCAGACUAUAUAUAAGGGUUAAAUGCCCUAUCAUAUAUGCAGCUUCAAUGUUCCCAUGUUCUUUCUUUUAAAGAGAGAAUGAAAAGAAUUAUUUAUUUAUCUUUCGGUUACUCACAUGAUUUCCUUGCUAUAGUAGAUGGCUAGAGCCAGCUGGAGGUGGGCAGCCCAUGAGCAAGUGAAGCAUUACCUUGUUGCUAUAUCCUAGCAUGCCCAAAAUAUCAGCAAGAACCGUCACAUUCAAAUGUUAUAUUAGAGGACACCAGACGAGAAGGAAUAUAUAUAGGAUUAGAUAGAGUAUCAUAUUAUGAUGCAAGAUUGUAAGAUGUGUACUCUUAAGAUAAUUUUCAUGUGUGGAUGGUGAUUUUAAUUAUAAAUAUAUAAAUGU